AUUAGCGGCGGACGGGUGAGUAACACGUGAGUAACCUGCCUUAGACAUUGGGAUAGCCUCGGGAAACCGGGAUUAAUACCAAAUAAAAUCAUAAUGACACAUGUCAUAACGAUCAAAACUCCGGCGGUCUAAGAUGGACUCGCGUCCCAUUAGCUAGUUGGUAGAGUAAAAGCCUACCAAGGCGACGAUGGGUAGCCGGCCUGAGAGGGUGAACGGCCACAUUGGAACUGAGAAACGGUCCAA
This 243-nucleotide ribosomal RNA is filed under the name uncultured Eubacteriales bacterium. Its description in RNAcentral is "uncultured Clostridiales bacterium partial 16S ribosomal RNA". It matches the Rfam family "Bacterial small subunit ribosomal RNA", at positions 91 to 334 of the family's 1533-position model. Lineage: Bacteria; Bacillati; Bacillota; Clostridia; Eubacteriales. The record is from RNAcentral.